This 253-nucleotide ribosomal RNA is filed under the name uncultured bacterium. Its description in RNAcentral is "partial 16S ribosomal RNA". It matches the Rfam family "Bacterial small subunit ribosomal RNA", at positions 524 to 776 of the family's 1533-position model. The record is from RNAcentral.
UACAGAGGGGGCAAGCGUUAUUCGGAAUUAUUGGGCGUAAAGAGCUCGUAGGCGGUUUGUCGCGUCGAAUGUGAAAACCCGGGGCUCAACCCCGGGCCUGCAUUCGAUACGGGCAGACUAGAGUUCGGUAGGGGAGUCUGGAAUUCCUGGUGUAGCGGUGAAAUGCGCAGAUAUCAGGAGGAACACCGGUGGCGAAGGCGGGACUCUGGGCCGAUACUGACGCUGAGGAGCGAAAGCGUGGGGAGCAAACAGG